Molecule: ribosomal RNA, 1207 nt
Filed under: Enterococcus faecium
Lineage: Bacteria; Bacillati; Bacillota; Bacilli; Lactobacillales; Enterococcaceae
Description: bacterial SSU rRNA
Rfam family: Bacterial small subunit ribosomal RNA
Source: RNAcentral
GGGAUAACACUUGGAAACAGGUGCUAAUACCGUAUAACAAUCGAAACCGCAUGGUUUUGAUUUGAAAGGCGCUUUCGGGUGUCGCUGAUGGAUGGACCCGCGGUGCAUUAGCUAGUUGGUGAGGUAACGGCUCACCAAGGCCACGAUGCAUAGCCGACCUGAGAGGGUGAUCGGCCACAUUGGGACUGAGACACGGCCCAAACUCCUACGGGAGGCAGCAGUAGGGAAUCUUCGGCAAUGGACGAAAGUCUGACCGAGCAACGCCGCGUGAGUGAAGAAGGUUUUCGGAUCGUAAAACUCUGUUGUUAGAGAAGAACAAGGAUGAGAGUAACUGUUCAUCCCUUGACGGUAUCUAACCAGAAAGCCACGGCUAACUACGUGCCAGCAGCCGCGGUAAUACGUAGGUGGCAAGCGUUGUCCGGAUUUAUUGGGCGUAAAGCGAGCGCAGGCGGUUUCUUAAGUCUGAUGUGAAAGCCCCCGGCUCAACCGGGGAGGGUCAUUGGAAACUGGGAGACUUGAGUGCAGAAGAGGAGAGUGGAAUUCCAUGUGUAGCGGUGAAAUGCGUAGAUAUAUGGAGGAACACCAGUGGCGAAGGCGGCUCUCUGGUCUGUAACUGACGCUGAGGCUCGAAAGCGUGGGGAGCAAACAGGAUUAGAUACCCUGGUAGUCCACGCCGUAAACGAUGAGUGCUAAGUGUUGGAGGGUUUCCGCCCUUCAGUGCUGCAGCUAACGCAUUAAGCACUCCGCCUGGGGAGUACGACCGCAAGGUUGAAACUCAAAGGAAUUGACGGGGGCCCGCACAAGCGGUGGAGCAUGUGGUUUAAUUCGAAGCAACGCGAAGAACCUUACCAGGUCUUGACAUCCUUUGACCACUCUAGAGAUAGAGCUUCCCCUUCGGGGGCAAAGUGACAGGUGGUGCAUGGUUGUCGUCAGCUCGUGUCGUGAGAUGUUGGGUUAAGUCCCGCAACGAGCGCAACCCUUAUUGUUAGUUGCCAUCAUUCAGUUGGGCACUCUAGCAAGACUGCCGGUGACAAACCGGAGGAAGGUGGGGAUGACGUCAAAUCAUCAUGCCCCUUAUGACCUGGGCUACACACGUGCUACAAUGGGAAGUACAACGAGUUGCGAAGUCGCGAGGCUAAGCUAAUCUCUUAAAGCUUCUCUCAGUUCGGAUUGCAGGCUGCAACUCGCCUGCAUGAAGCCGGAAUCG